RNAcentral lists this ribosomal RNA (492 nucleotides) under uncultured bacterium. RNAcentral describes it as "partial 16S ribosomal RNA". It matches the Rfam family "Bacterial small subunit ribosomal RNA", at positions 29 to 507 of the family's 1533-position model. The record is from RNAcentral.
AGUGAACGCUGGCGGUAGGCCUAACACAUGCAAGUCGAACGGCAGCACAGUAAGAGCUUGCUCUUACGGGUGGCGAGUGGCGGACGGGUGAGGAAUACAUCGGAAUCUACUUUUUCGUGGGGGAUAACGUAGGGAAACUUACGCUAAUACCGCAUACGACCUACGGGUGAAAGCAGGGGAUCUUCUGACCUUGCGCGAUUGAAUGAGCCGAUGUCGGAUUAGCUAGUUGGCGGGGUAAAGGCCCACCAAGGCGACGAUACGUAGCUGGUCUGAGAGGAUGAUCAGCCACACUGGAACUGAGACACGGUCCAGACUCCUACGGGAGGCAGCAGUGGGUAAUAUUGGACAAUGGGCGCAAGCCUGAUCCAGCCAUACCGCGUGGGUGAAGAAGGCCUUCGGGUUGUAAAGCCCUUUUGUUGGGAAAGAAAAGCAGCAGGUUAAUACCCCGCUGUUCUGACGGUACCCAAAGAAUAAGCACCGGCUAACUUCGUG